This 468-nucleotide ribosomal RNA is filed under the name uncultured bacterium. RNAcentral's name for it is "partial 16S ribosomal RNA". It matches the Rfam family "Bacterial small subunit ribosomal RNA", at positions 28 to 507 of the family's 1533-position model. The record is from RNAcentral.
GACGAACGCUGGCGGCGUGCUUAACACAUGCAAGUCGAACGGAAAGGCCCUGCUUUUGUGGGGUGCUCGAGUGGCGAACGGGUGAGUAACACGUGAGUAACCUGCCCUUGACUUUGGGAUAACUUCAGGAAACUGGGGCUAAUACCUGAUAGGAGCUCCUGCUGCAUGGUGGGGGUUGGAAAGUUUCGGCGGUUGGGGAUGGACUCGCGGCUUAUCAGCUUGUUGGUGGGGUAGUGGCUUACCGAGGCUUUGACGGGUAGACGGCCUGAGAGGGUGACCGGGGACAUUGGGACUGAGAUACGGGCCAGACUCCUACGGGAGGCAGAAGUGGGGAAAAUUGCACAAUGGGGGGAAGACUGAUGCAGAAAAGCCGCGUGCGGGAUGACGGCCUUCGGGUUGUAAAACGCUUUCGCAUGUGAUGAAGCGUGAGUGACGGUAAUGGGUAAAGAAGCAACGGCUAACUACGUG